GUGCUCGAUUCAGCAGCACGUAUGCUAAAAUUGGAGUGAUACAGAGAAGAUUAUCAUGGCCCUGUGCAAGGAUGACAGGCAAAUUCAUGAAGUAUUUCAUAAUCUC
Peromyscus eremicus (cactus mouse) is the source of this 106-nucleotide small nuclear RNA. The record is from RefSeq and is a predicted model, not a curated record. Lineage: Eukaryota; Metazoa; Chordata; Mammalia; Rodentia; Cricetidae.